GACGGAGGAUGCAAGCGUUACUCGGAAUUACUGGGCGUAAAGCGCGCGUAGGUGGUUUAGUAAGUUUGAUGUGAAAGCCCUGAGCUUAACUCAGGAAGUGCAUUGAAUACUGCUAGGCUAGAGUACGAGAGAGGAGAGUGGAAUUUCUGGUGUAGAGGUGAAAUUCGUAGAUAUCAGAAGGAACAACGAUGGCGAAGGCAGCUCUCUGGAUCGUGACUGACAUUGAGGCGCGAAAGCGUGGGGAGCAAACAGG
This 253-nucleotide ribosomal RNA is filed under the name uncultured bacterium. RNAcentral describes it as "partial 16S ribosomal RNA". It matches the Rfam family "Bacterial small subunit ribosomal RNA", at positions 524 to 776 of the family's 1533-position model. The record is from RNAcentral.